Molecule: ribosomal RNA, 254 nt
Filed under: uncultured bacterium
Lineage: Bacteria
Description: partial 16S ribosomal RNA
Rfam family: Bacterial small subunit ribosomal RNA
Source: RNAcentral
UACGUAGGGGGCAAGCGUUGUCCGGAAUCAUUGGGCGUAAAGAGCGUGUAGGCGGCCCGAUAAGUCCGCUGUGAAAGUCCAGGGCUCAACCCUGGGAUGCCGGUGGAUACUGUCGGGCUCGAGUCCGGAAGAGGAGUGUGGAAUUCCUGGUGUGAGCGGUGAAAUGCGCAGAUAUCAGGAGGAACACCGGUGGCGAAGGCGGAUCUCUGGGCCUUACCUGACGCUCAGGUGCGAAAGCUAGGGGAGCGAACAGG